Molecule: non-coding RNA, 89 nt
Filed under: Pseudomonas tolaasii NCPPB 2192
Lineage: Bacteria; Pseudomonadati; Pseudomonadota; Gammaproteobacteria; Pseudomonadales; Pseudomonadaceae
Source: RNAcentral
UGUGGGAGCUGGCUUGCCCGCGAUGGCGGUGGGUCAGCCAUGAAAUUGUCGACAGAUAUUCCGCUAUCGCAGGCAAGCCAGCUCCCACA